RNAcentral lists this ribosomal RNA (433 nucleotides) under uncultured bacterium. RNAcentral describes it as "partial 16S ribosomal RNA". It matches the Rfam family "Bacterial small subunit ribosomal RNA", at positions 29 to 507 of the family's 1533-position model. The record is from RNAcentral.
AACGAACGCUGGCGGCAUGCCUAACACAUGCAAGUCGAACGAGACCUUCGGGUCUAGUGGCGCACGGGUGCGUAACGCGUGGGAACCUGCCCUUAGGUUCGGAAUAACUCCCCGAAAGGGGUGCUAAUACCGGAUAAUGUCUUCGGACCAAAGAUUUAUCGCCUUUGGAUGGGCCCGCGUUGGAUUAGCUAGUUGGUAGGGUAAAAGCCUACCAAGGCGACGAUCCAUAGCUGGUCUGAGAGGAUGAUCAGCCACACUGGGACUGAGACACGGCCCAGACUCCUACGGGAGGCAGGAGUGGGGAAUAUUGGACAAUGGGCGAAAGGCUGAUCCAGCAAUGCCGCGUGAGUGAUGAAGGCCUUAGGGUUGUAAAGCUCUUUUACCCGGGAUGAUAAUGACAGUACCGGGAGAAUAAGCUCCGGCUAACUCCGUG